RNAcentral lists this ribosomal RNA (467 nucleotides) under uncultured bacterium. Its description in RNAcentral is "partial 16S ribosomal RNA". It matches the Rfam family "Bacterial small subunit ribosomal RNA", at positions 28 to 506 of the family's 1533-position model. The record is from RNAcentral.
GACGAACGCUGGCGGCGUGCUUAACACAUGCAAGUCGAACGGAAAGGCCCUGCUUUUGUGGGGUGCUCGAGUGGCGAACGGGUGAGUAACACGUGAGUAACCUGCCCUUGACUUUGGGAUAACUUCAGGAAACUGGGGCUAAUACCGGAUAGGAGCUCCUGCUGCAUGGUGGGGGUUGGAAAGUUUCGGCGGUUGGGGAUGGACUCGCGGCUUAUCAGCUUGUUGGUGGGGUAGUGGCUUACCAAGGCUUUGACGGGUAGCCGGCCUGAGAGGGUGACCAGCCACAUUGGGACUGAGAUACGGCCCAGACUCCUACGGGAGGCAGCAGUGGGGAAUAUUGCACAAUGGGCGGAAGCCUGAUGCAGCAACGCCGCGUGCGGGAUGACGGCCUUCGGGUUGUAAACCGCUUUCGCCUGUGACGAAGCGUGAGUGACGGGAAUGGGUAAAGAAGCACCGGCUAACUACGU